RNAcentral lists this transfer RNA (72 nucleotides) under Candidatus Magnetobacterium bavaricum. RNAcentral describes it as "tRNA-Gly". It matches the Rfam family "tRNA". Rfam says of the family: Transfer RNA (tRNA) molecules are approximately 80 nucleotides in length. Their secondary structure includes four short double-helical elements and three loops (D, anti-codon, and T loops). The record is from RNAcentral. Lineage: Bacteria; Pseudomonadati; Nitrospirota; Thermodesulfovibrionia; Thermodesulfovibrionales; Magnetobacteriaceae (SeqCode).
CGGGAGUAGCUCAGUGGUAGAGCGUCAGCCUUCCAAGCUGAGGGUCGCGGGUUCGAAUCCCGUUUCCCGCUU